Molecule: ribosomal RNA, 499 nt
Filed under: uncultured bacterium
Lineage: Bacteria
Description: bacterial SSU rRNA
Rfam family: Bacterial small subunit ribosomal RNA
Source: RNAcentral
GAUGAACGCUAGCGGCAGGCUUAAUACAUGCAAGUCGUGGGGCAGCAGGUUUGUAGCAAUACAGAUGCUGGCGACCGGCAAACGGGUGCGGAACACGUACAGAACCUUCCUUUGAGCGGGGAAUAGCCCAGAGAAAUUUGGAUUAAUACCCCAUAGUAUAAUGAAGUGGCAUCACUUUAUUAUUAAAGAUUUAUCACUCGAAGAUGGCUGUGCGGCUGAUUAGGUAGUUGGCGGGGUAAAGGCCCACCAAGCCUGCGAUCAGUAACUGGUGUGAGAGCACGACUAGUCACACGGGCACUGAGACACGGGCCCGACUCCUACGGGAGGCAGCAGUAAGGAAUAUUGGUCAAUGGAGGCAACUCUGAACCAGCCAUGCCGCGUGGAGGAUGAAGGUCCUCUGGAUUGUAAACUUCUUUUAUAUUGGGACGAAAAAAGGCUUUUCUAAGUCGUCUGACGGUACCAUAUGAAUAAGCACCGGCUAACUCCGUGCCAGCAGCCG